Non-coding RNA from Arachis ipaensis, 353 nucleotides. NCBI's taxonomy places the organism in Eukaryota, Viridiplantae, Streptophyta, Magnoliopsida, Fabales, Fabaceae. The record is from RefSeq and is a predicted model, not a curated record.
UUACAAUUGCCGUCGCUGAGCUUCUGGCCGCCGGGAACGGUGCUGUGGCCGCUGGAACCUUGGUUUGUGUCGCUGCCAUUAGUCACUGAUAGAGGUUGAGUAUUGACGCUAGUGUUCCUGCGGGGCUGCUGAAGCUGCUGCUAGUUUUGAUUUUGUUAUCUUGGUACAAAUGGUUGUAAUUGCUUUUAAUUGCUAUCCAAUUUGAAUCUUCCAUUUUGCUGCAACCAUGGCCACUGCCGUUCUAGUUGCGUGAGAGUUGUAGCUGCUGCAGAAUAAGAUGAAAAGAGGGUUUAUCGUAUUAAAAUCGCUGCGGGUUUGGUUCUUUGAGCUUUACCUUUUCAGGAACCGGAUGA